Molecule: long non-coding RNA, 181 nt
Organism: Suricata suricatta (meerkat)
Lineage: Eukaryota; Metazoa; Chordata; Mammalia; Carnivora; Herpestidae
Exons: 3
Source: RefSeq, a predicted model, not a curated record
GAGAAUACGGUUGUCUGACUCCUUCCUGGGAACACAACAGUUGUCAGGAUAUCACUCUCUGCUCUUUGGCACCUCUGCAGAGACCCUGGAGGCCAGGGGGGCCAGACUGAAAGCCAGCAAUUCAAAAGGAAACAUGUUGGACAGUCAAUAUUUGUUUGAGGAUGAUUGGAAAACAGGAUGA